This is a long non-coding RNA of Helianthus annuus (common sunflower), 527 nucleotides long. RefSeq lists it as uncharacterized. The record is from RefSeq and is a predicted model, not a curated record. Lineage: Eukaryota; Viridiplantae; Streptophyta; Magnoliopsida; Asterales; Asteraceae. The transcript is spliced from 4 exons.
AGGCAGAGAGACCGUAGCAGAAGCCGGGACCGAUAUGAUGAGAGAUAUCGAGGUAGGGACAGGGAUCGUUACAGAAGCAGAAGUCGCAGCAGAAGUCCUGAUUAUCGCAGAGAACGUAGAAGAGGGAGAUACGAUGAUGAUAAGGGCAGAAGUUCGUCUCCUAACAGGAGUGUUUCUCCUCCUGCUCGGGGCAGUGCUAGCCCGCGGAAGAGCGUGUCUCCGCGCAGGUCACCUUCUAGAAGCAGAAGUCCCGUAGCUCGUGAUGAAAAGGAGCGGUCGCCUACUCCAAAAAGUGUUUCACCCCGUGGCAGGUCUGACUCUCGAAGCCCAUCACCACAACGAUCUGAUGCUGACGAGUGAAAAGUGAAGUAAAUCGUUGAAGACUGCAUGAAUUAAAAGCGAUGUUCCUUUUUCUGAUGAGCUGGAUGAAUUCUUGAACUCAUAUGCGUAUUUCUAAGUUGCUGUAUGCUGUUGGUGAGAACCGGUCCAGCUUGCAGCGGUUAAGCUGUUGGUUGAUGUCUUUUGAG